ACCGUCCUGGUUCAAGGUCACCAGGACACGCUUCUCCCUUUUACGAGGGUGUCCUGAUAUUUUUAAGAUCCACCAGUAGGCAGCACAUCUAUUUUUGUUAUUUAUAGAGCGCCGUGCGUGCGCUGGGGAGCUGGCAGGCUCGUACAGAAAGAAGGCUGGAUUGCAGCCACAGUUUACAGUUUACAACCCCACGAACCAGCCCUGCGUGCAGGACCAGCAUGGCCGUGUCGCCGUACAAACAGCACCAGGCGGUCCGGUGCAGAUAGACAGAUAGGCGUGUGGCCAAGCCACUUGGCCCGAGAGCUCUUGGCAUUGCCCAAGCCAAGCAAACCAGGAGAAAUCCUGAUGGAAGAGCUCUUAGGGAAACACAGAUGCUCUGAGCGCAGGUGUUCCCAAGGCGCUUGGUCCUAUUGACCGGGUAGCCAGUGUCCCAGUGAAGUUCUGGAGGAGGCACAAGUUGGAAACACUGCCGUUAGCCAUGGUGGUAAAGCCUGAGACAGGAGCAAAGCUCUCAAGAGGAGUUGCCUCAACAGCCCCAGGAAUAGCUAGGAAGGUUGUCGGUAGUGGCUAAGGAAAGCAGAUAAGGGGAGAAGAGUCUCAUUAAGGAAGUGGACUCUCUUGAGGGACAAGAGGCCUUGCAGAGGGAUGUAGGUAGAUUGGAGCACUGGGCAAUCAUCAAUGGCAAGAAGUUCAGCAAAGGAAAAUGCCGGGUUCUGCACCUGGGAUGGAGCAGUGCUGGACACAGGGAGUGUAGCCUGUAUCUCUUGUGGAAACAGUGAUUCAAAGGACAGCAAAGGAAAAACUGGACAUUACUGAAGAAGGCAGAUGAGAUUAAAAAAUGUCUAGUCACCGAAGCAUUGAUUAGAGAGGCAACAAGGAGGGAGCAGCUUUUCAUUUUGUCUCAUGGACUAUGCUGGAAGGAACAGUAGCUUCAGACCCUAAAAUCUUCUGACUACCUGU
Cygnus olor (mute swan) is the source of this 960-nucleotide long non-coding RNA. RefSeq lists it as uncharacterized. The record is from RefSeq and is a predicted model, not a curated record. The transcript has 4 exons. NCBI's taxonomy places the organism in Eukaryota, Metazoa, Chordata, Aves, Anseriformes, Anatidae.